This is a long non-coding RNA of Octopus sinensis (East Asian common octopus), 693 nucleotides long. RefSeq lists it as uncharacterized. The record is from RefSeq and is a predicted model, not a curated record. The transcript is spliced from 2 exons. NCBI's taxonomy places the organism in Eukaryota, Metazoa, Mollusca, Cephalopoda, Octopoda, Octopodidae.
CUACUUAUUCAUUUGUAACAUUUUUGUCUUUUCUUAGCUGAUAAAUCUUAUCUCCAACAAGCUACAGUUCCUUUGACCCGUGAAACGCAUGGAGCUGAGGAAAUCGCGAUUUUUGUUCGUGGUCCUAUGUCUCAUAUAUUUCACGGUGUAAGGGAGCAAGUAUUUGUGCCACUUGCCUUGGCUUACUCAUCAUGCAUUGGUUCAAACAAGAAACACUGUCCAACAUCAAACACACCUAUGAUAACAAAAGACAAAAGAACUUUCCUCAUUUCUACCAUCCUUUUAAUUUUGUUUCUGUGGUGAUGGACUGAACAUUCUUGUAGUUGUUGUUGAAGAUUGGUGGCAACAAACAGAAGGAAAUAGUUUGCUUUGAAAAAAUACCUACAACAAAGUGCCGUUCCUCUGGCCGAUGAAACCCAUGGCGGGAAGGACGUCGUUGCUUACGCCCGAGGACCGAUGUCUCAUCUGAUCAGCGGAGUCAAAGAGCAAAACUACCUUGCUGUGGUCAUGGGAUAUUCUUCCUGCACAAGAAAGCACACUAAUUCCAACACUCAUUGUUCUGCGUCCCCUUCGUCUGUCACCAAAAGUCCAACACCACUUCUCUUUCUAUUGCCAAUACUGACAAUUGUUCAAAUUCUUUCAAAAUAAAAAAAAACAUUCGAUCCGUCUUCCUACCUAACACAUACACACACA